AACGAACGCUGGCGGCAGGCUUAACACAUGCAAGUCGAACGCCCCGCAAGGGGCGUGGCCGACGGGUGAGUAACGCGUGGGAAUCUACCCAUCCCUACGGAAUAACGCAUGGAAACGUGUGCUAAUACCGUAUACGCCCUACGGGGGAAAGAUUUAUCGGGGAUGGAUGAGCCCGCGUUGGAUUAGCUAGUUGGUGGGGUAAAGGCCUACCAAGGCGACGAUCCAUAGCUGGUCUGAGAGGAUGAUCAGCCACAUUGGGACUGAGACACGGCCCAAACUCCUACGGGAGGCAGCAGUGGGGAAUAUUGGACAAUGGGCGCAAGCCUGAUCCAGCCAUGCCGCGUGAGUGAUGAAGGCCUUAGGGUUGUAAAGCUCUUUCACCGGAGAAGAUAAUGACGGUAUCCGGAGAAGAAGCCCCGGCUAACUUCGUG
Molecule: ribosomal RNA, 431 nt
Filed under: uncultured bacterium
Lineage: Bacteria
Description: partial 16S ribosomal RNA
Rfam family: Bacterial small subunit ribosomal RNA
Source: RNAcentral